GUCUUUUGGGUGCCAUCUGGGUGUAUUUCAAUAUAGUGCAUCCAGGUGUAUUUUAGUGGGAAUGUAAAAAAACCAAACUCAAACCCGAAGGUUGCCGAUGCCCAUUUUUUUACAAUCGUUUUUUUUCGGAACUGUUCUCUUGACAAACAAAUAAUAAAGACAAAAGGGAACAUGCAAGGAAGCGAGCGGUUUUUCUUGUCUCUUGCAUUUCUCGUCAGUUGCAUUUUUAGUUCUGAAAAGUGAAGUUCGUGCCACGUGUUUUGAAAAAGUGUGUUGCUUUCUGCCACCAAUUUUACAUCAAUAUUUUCACAGAAUCGCAAAAAAUGAAUGGGCACACCAAGGACUGAACUGCGUAAAUAACAAAAGUACAUAAACAAGAAGGAAGCACCGUACAGAAGGGGAGUUACUCCGAUUAAAAAUUAGUUGCGUUUUUGAAUAUUGAAAUGAAAAUAAAUAUGAAAUUGAAAUCCAGUUUUAUGUAUUCCUGGGGAAAACUUCCAGAUAUUUGGUUUUUGAAUGCUUCUAGGUGCAUUCCUGGGUACAUGUUACAGGUGCAUUAAAAAAGAGUACACCCAGAAUGUGUUUAGUAUGUUGCUCCCAGGUGCAUUAAAAAAGAGUACACCCAGAAUGUGUUUAGUUUGUUACUUCCAGGUGCAUUCCAGAUAUAUGCUUCCAGAAGCAUGCAACGGGUGCAUUCUUUUUUGUCCCGCACCCGUGUAAAAAGAAUGGACAGACUCAUCACUUCCGGAACACCUUUUUGAUGCCAUUUCAUAAUGAAAGAACGCAUGCUGGAAUGCUGACAUUUACGACUGGGUAGACGCACAUUCCGAUGUCUUGGUUUCCUAGGAAACCGCUCAAGGAAACGGGACCAUCGUGCUUCUUCUUCCUAUCUUCUCGUCGUUCUUUUCCUCUCUCGAUAUUCAUGUUCACUUCGAUUCUGGCGUUGAGAGCGUGCGGUUCACACAAUCUAA
Drosophila suzukii is the source of this 971-nucleotide non-coding RNA. The record is from RefSeq and is a predicted model, not a curated record. NCBI's taxonomy places the organism in Eukaryota, Metazoa, Arthropoda, Insecta, Diptera, Drosophilidae.